RNAcentral lists this long non-coding RNA (1545 nucleotides) under Chloebia gouldiae (Gouldian finch). RNAcentral's name for it is "Erythrura gouldiae (Gouldian finch) lncRNA (ENSEGOG00005003811.1)". The record is from RNAcentral. Lineage: Eukaryota; Metazoa; Chordata; Aves; Passeriformes; Passeridae.
GCAAGAUCUGUGUGUGACUCCUAAGAAGGGAGCUUUUUCUGGCUGGUAUUUUUCUUUUUUUUUAGAAUUCUGUUUUCUGACUAAGGUAGUGUUCAACAGCAGGAAGGAGUUAAACGAUACCCAAACAACUCAGGAGCUGUCUGUCAAUCAGGGCUAAUCUUGAGGCAGCAGCAUUAAGAGGCUUCAGAAAGAAGGAAGUCCUUCUGGCAUUUAUUUUGUUUCUUUGUAUUUAUCAAUUGAGAAUGGCUGGGCCUGAAUUAAUAUAUACAAAUUGGUUAAUUGUGUGGUAAAGUCAAAACCUGUACAAAAUAAGGCAAAUAUAUUUCAGAAGGUCCAGCUUCUGCAUCUUCAACAUGAGAUCUCAAACUCUGUGGCUCCACAACAGGACAGGGCGGUAGUCUGUGAAUGGAAUUUGAUACAUAGCUAAAUAGUCCUGAAAAUAAUUUUUUAAAUUGCAGAUAAGGGAAAGGAGGCUCUUUUUUAAGAUAACUGGUACUAUUGUCAUGCUUAAGGUCCUUAGCCACACGGGAAAAGUUCUGGUUAGAGUAGAUGUAGCAGGAAUCUGUUCUCAAAAUAGAAACUGGCUACAGAAUGGCAAAAUUAUUUGAUAGUGAUGCUCAGUUUCUACUCAAUCAUAAGCAAGGUUUUGCAUGUGCUCUUUAUGCUAUGCAAGGCUGGAUUUUAUUUUGUCAUUUUUGCCUUGUCUUGUGGUAUGAAAUAGCUUCUCAUACCAUAAUUUGAGUGUCCUAAGUCUGCCACAUUUAUAAUUUGUUGCAAUACAUAAUUAUUUUGAAUAAGAAAUUGGUAAUAUUACUGUCUUUGUUCAAUUUACAGACUCACAAGUCAGCCUUUACUGGAAGAGUAAAAUGACUCAGUUUGGGCUUGGGAGCCAGAGAGCUAAAUAUAGUACACAGCAUCAGAGCUUGGUACAGCUGGGGGGAAAAUAUCCAUUUGGGAACUUAUAAAAGGUCAGUUUGGAACAGAGGUGCCUGGGGUGCAGAAAUACUUGCCCUGAUAACUAACUUCACAUUUGAGAAGUGGCACAGCAGAGCUGCUGAGGACAGAAGAAGGCAUAGGAAGACUGGAUGGAGCAGUCCUACCUGUGAGCUCUCACCUCUGAAUGACUCCAGCUCUAGAAAAUUCAGGGUUCCCUCUGACCUUGCUACAGCAGGAAUCCAGCACUCCAGGUAUUGCAUGUAUCUAAUCCAAGUACCGGUUGCUUAUAUGUGGUUUGCAAUGUGCGUUUGUGUGUACUUCAAACAUGCUCUUUGUGGGCAACCUCUAGGGAAAAACAUCAUUUGUAUCUUCAAGGAAGUUUACACAGCGAUACUGAAGAAAUCCAUGGGGAUUGUUUGCUCUCAAAGGUUUCUCAAUAAAUAAAUAAUCAAGAGGCUGGAGGACAGCCUGAAUGAAGCAGUCAGGGUCAGAACGCUAUAGACAUACAUGAAGGGGUCUGAGCUCUACUGUAAAAAAAUUCAUAGUUUAAAAAGAUUAAAAUUAAAAUACUGUAAUAAAUAUUUUUAUAAGUUUAAAAAAAUAUAAAGU